RNAcentral lists this ribosomal RNA (498 nucleotides) under uncultured bacterium. Its description in RNAcentral is "partial 16S ribosomal RNA". It matches the Rfam family "Bacterial small subunit ribosomal RNA", at positions 30 to 523 of the family's 1533-position model. The record is from RNAcentral.
AUUGAACGCGGGCGGCAUGCCUUACACAUGCAAGUCGAACGGUAACAGGUCUUCGGAUGCUGACGGGUGGCGAACGGGUGAGUAAUACAUCGGAACGUGCCUAGUAGUGGGGGAUAACUACUCGAAAGAGUGGCUAAUACCGCAUGAGAUCUACGGAUGAAAGCAGGGGAUCGCAAGACCUUGUGCUACUAGAGCGGCCGAUGGCAGAUUAGGUAGUUGGUGGGAUAAAAGCUUACCAAGCCGACGAUCUGUAGCUGGUCUGAGAGGACGAUCAGCGAAAUUGGGACGUAGACACGACCCAGACUCCUACGGGAGGCAGCAGUGGGGAAUUUUGGACAAUGGGCGCAAGCCUGAUCCAGCAAUGCCGCGUGCAGGAUGAAGGCCUUCGGGUUGUAAACUGCUUUUGUACGGAACGAAAAGCCCCGGGUUAAUACCCUGGGGUCAUGACGGUACCGUAAGAAUAAGCACCGGCUAACUACGUGCCAGCCGCCGCAGUAA